AGAACGAACGCUGGCGGCAGGCCUAACACAUGCAAGUCGAACGCCUCGCAAGAGGAGUGGCAGACGGGUGAGUAACACGUGGGAACGUACCCUUCGGUUCGGAAUAACUCAGGGAAACUUGUGCUAAUACCGGAUACGAUCGCGAGAUGAAAGAUUUAUCGCCGAAGGAUCGGCCCGCGUCUGAUUAGCUAGUUGGUGAGGUAAUGGCUCACCAAGGCGACGAUCAGUAGCUGGUCUGAGAGGAUGACCAGCCACAUUGGGACUGAGACACGGCCCAAACUCCUACGGGAGGCAGCAGUGGGGAAUAUUGGACAAUGGGCGCAAGCCUGAUCCAGCCAUGCCGCGUGAGUGAUGAAGGCCUUAGGGUUGUAAAGCUCUUUUACUCGGGAAGAUAGUGACGGUACCGAGAGAAUAAGCCCCGGCUAACUUCGCGCCAGCAGCCGC
This 444-nucleotide ribosomal RNA is filed under the name uncultured bacterium. Its description in RNAcentral is "SSU rRNA". It matches the Rfam family "Bacterial small subunit ribosomal RNA", at positions 26 to 518 of the family's 1533-position model. The record is from RNAcentral.